GACGAACGCUGGCGGCGUGCUUAACACAUGCAAGUCGAACGGAAAGGCCCUGCUUGCAGGGUACUCGAGUGGCGAACGGGUGAGUAACACGUGGGUGAUCUGCCCUGCACUUCGGGAUAAGCCUGGGAAACUGGGUCUAAUACCGGAUAGGAGCCAUUUUUAGUGUGAUGGUUGGAAAGUUUUUUCGGUGUAGGAUGAGCUCGCGGCCUAUCAGCUUGUUGGUGGGGUAAUGGCCUACCAAGGCGGCGACGGGUAGCCGGCCUGAGAGGGUGGACGGCCACAUUGGGACUGAGAUACGGCCCAGACUCCUACGGGAGGCAGCAGUGGGGAAUAUUGCACAAUGGGCGCAAGCCUGAUGCAGCGACACCGCGGGGGGGAUGACGGCCUUCGGGUUGUAAACUCCUUUCGCUAGGGACGAAGCUUUUUGUGACGGUACCUAGAUAAGAAGCACCGGCUAACUACGUG
This 465-nucleotide ribosomal RNA is filed under the name uncultured bacterium. RNAcentral describes it as "partial 16S ribosomal RNA". It matches the Rfam family "Bacterial small subunit ribosomal RNA", at positions 28 to 507 of the family's 1533-position model. The record is from RNAcentral.